CGGCCCAUCUAUCGCUCGUCUCUGUCUCUCCCCCGACUAGCUCCUCCCAAACCCUAUCCUAAUUCCAUCGCCGCCACCCCCACGACUCUCUCUCCCUCCCGAUCUGCUCCGGCACUGUCCGCUCCCGAGUCUCUCCCUCUACGGCGCCGCUCUCCUUCGCCUUCCCAUCGCUCUCCCUCUCUCAUGGCGUGGACUAGCAGCGACGACGGGGAAGCCGGUGAAGAUCUCCAAGAAGCAGGAUGAGGGGGUGGUGCCCAAAAAGUGCGUCCCAAGGAACCCUGCGUGGGGCAGUGCCUCCUCAAGAUCUCAACACUCGUCUCACCGACGACAACGCGCCCUGACAAAUGGUCUUCAUACGGAGGGAGGUGCUGUAGCACAAGGGGCAGCCGAUCAGUGUGAUCACAGAUGGUGUGGAUAAGAAUGGGAAGCCACACAAGCUGCAGCCCUAUUCCAUCCCCACCAGUGAGCUGGGGGACUUUGGGCCUUCUGUACAUCCGCCAACUGCCCCACCACAAUUGAUGACCACGAUGCAGGGUGGCUGCGGUGCUCCAUAUCUUCUCCAUGAGGUCUCAGGCUUGGUCAUCCUCUAGGGAAAAAACAAGUAAAAAAAUGAUGCCUUCUCAGUUCUCAUCGAUCUGGUAGCGGCAAGUUCAAUUCUGCAGCCUCGACCAUUUCGGCUGCUCAUCGAAUUGUUUCGUGUUACACUGGUGCAAGCCGGAGAAAAGCCUACUCUGGAUCCUAUUGCAGUUGACAUCUUCUUUGCGUUGCUUUCAUCGGUGAAAAUCCAGAACAAGAAGCACAUAUAUGAUGAUGCAUCACCGGCUGCCUCCACCGCUGUUUUCUCCUUAAACCUGUUUUCUCCUUAAAUCAGUCUGCCAACUAGACUAGACACUUCAAUUGAUGUCACAUAUUGUUGUACAGAACCUACAAUUUCUGUACAUAUAGAAACAUCAGAUUAGUACUUUUUUGGACACUGAUUUCUCUUCUCUAACUGAAGCAAGUCUCUUAUAUUUACUGAAAGGUAGAACUAACCAGUGAUCCUUGACGUGAAUUUCACAUCGCUACUAAACUCUCUUUAUAUCUUUAGAAUAUGAUUAUCAGGAGAUUAUCUUCAUCACAAAUCCAAACAGCUGUUGAGAUGCUAAUAUAAUCAAGAAAUUAUCUGGGUUGACACAUAAAAAAUAUAUUAACUCCAUCUGUUAUCAUGGUUGAUGUACAUGACUAUAUGCUCUCACCUUUUAUGAAAAAACAUGGGUUCCAAUUAUAUGUCUGUCUUCCUAUAAAGAGAACUUCCAUAUAUGCAAAUAAUUAACAUGCAACCCAGUUAACGAAGUUUUUCUUUUGAAGCUAUCAGUCCAUAAACUAACAAAAUACACAUGUAGAAUUACCCCUUUUUCCUCCUCUUCGACCACACAUCUGCUUGUCUGGAUUCUCAACGGCAUCAAUCACCACAUCCCCCGACAACUACGUCCAUGGCUGCUUCUUUCCGUAUGACCUUCUCCCUGUUGUCCUCCUCCCAAGCCAGCAGUCAUGGCAUCCCCAAGCAACAUAAGCCAGCAGCAACAAGCAACCAAUCUACAAACUGAGGAUUUCAUCCCAUCGCCCUUUGCUAGGAACCAGGUUUCAUUGUAUCCACUAUAUCACCUCGCUUGUUUGUUCAUUUCAUAUUUAAAUAUGUUAUCCAAUAUGAACAAUCCAGUCAUUUUGUAUGUUGUUUUCUUGCCAUUCUAUGCUAAUAUUAUUAUUUGUUCAAAUGCUUAUUUUUUUCUCUGAAAUGGCAUGAUCCCCAUCAAAACAAACUAUGUGAAUUGUUAGGUAAUUAAGUUCAAACUGUGAGCCGGAGCGCGAGAGAUCGCCACCGUUAUUGCCUCUACUUGCGCAGCCUACUGCAUGACCGCAACCCCUGGUACAUACCUAUUACCGAAUAAUACACAUGAAUGUGAGAUUUUCCUACCUUAUUUCAAUUCAGUUUGAGGUUGCAUUUUUUGCUGGUUUGUGAGAAUAUCUCGAGUCAGAUAAGGCAUGUCAAAAUGGGUGAUUAAGGUACUUCUAUUUUCAGGAUUUUAACAAGGCUGCCUGGUUUGUCACACUUUUAAAUGAAAAUCAGAAAAUGAUAAUUACAAAUGAUGGACAAAAUCCUUAAUUUAAUAUGUAUAGCCUCUUUGUCUGAAUUAAGACCAAUGCUUACUGAUUGAAUGGUGUCAACACGUUGGUAUCUAUCAAUUGGCUGUAAUGCUGCCCCAUUAGAUAUUCUGAGCUUAUUUUUAGCUUGCACAUUUUUGUUUCUUUCUUAAUUUAAGGCGGCAUAGGUUUCCGUGAAAGAGGAUCUUACAAAUUGGAUGCCAAUAUUUUUUAUCAAAAGAUUCUUAAAUUUCACGUACCAUCAAGUGACUGGUUUGCGAUCUUCCACACAUUACUUUAGGUAUCUCUUUGCCACAAAAUUCGGUAAAUUUCUUGUGAACUUAUUUUGAUAUUUUGUUGUGUCUUAAAAGCAAUUGGCUAAUUUUACUCCAGCGUUAGCAUGUGGAAGGUAUCGUAAUUAUUACGGGCACAUCUACAUUCAUGCACAUACACUGAGCUUUAAUCACUUCAUGCAAUUCUCAUUUGAUAUAGUAAGGACAGUUUUGUAAACGACACUCAAUUAUGAUUCUGAUUCGAUAGAUGAUGUUCUCUUACGGAUAUUAGCAAAAAUGUUAUGUAGGUAAUGUUGUUAUUAUUGUUUCCUUCAUCAACAUACACCACGUUAUUUACAGAGCAAUUAUAACUGUCUUAUACUUCUCCUUGGGACACUGCUUAUGUAUUUAUUUCUUCAAUUGAUUUGCCUUACUAAUAGUAUUUUGUUUGUAUUUCGAUGUAAGCAAUUGUAAGUCGGUUAACAUGUAGCACAACUUGAGACAUUGUUUCACAACCCACUGGCAUUUGAUAUUGAGCUUACGGCUUUUAUUAUUGUAGAUCGGAUGGAAUUUUACGACCUCAAAUCUGAGCAAGUGCACAUUCACGCAUCUAUCCUGGUGCAAUGCAAGAAUACUUGACCGUUAUAAUAUGAUGAUGUAGUGUAAUUGUAUCACUGGCCAGAACGCAUUGAAAUUUUCUUGAUAAUAUAUUGGAAGUUCUGAAAUAUUUGUACUGCCUA
Molecule: long non-coding RNA, 3133 nt
Organism: Triticum aestivum (bread wheat)
Lineage: Eukaryota; Viridiplantae; Streptophyta; Magnoliopsida; Poales; Poaceae
Exons: 4
Source: RefSeq, a predicted model, not a curated record